RNAcentral lists this ribosomal RNA (827 nucleotides) under uncultured Aquificales bacterium. RNAcentral's name for it is "bacterial SSU rRNA". It matches the Rfam family "Bacterial small subunit ribosomal RNA", at positions 719 to 1532 of the family's 1533-position model. Lineage: Bacteria; Pseudomonadati; Aquificota; Aquificia; Aquificales. The record is from RNAcentral.
AGGCCGCCCUCUCUUGGCCCGUUCCUGACCGUGAGACCCGAAAGGCGGGGGGAGCAACCGGAUUAGAUACCCGGGUAGUCACGCUGUAAACCGUGGCACUAGGUGUGGGGGGGUAUUCCCUCCGUGCCGAAGCUAACGCAUUAAGUGCCCCGCCUGGGGAGUACAGCCGCAAGGUUGAAACUCAAAGGAAUUGACGGGGGCCCGCACAAGCGGUGGAGCGUGUGGUUUAAUUCGAUGCAACGCGAAGAACCUUACCCGGGCUUGACAUGCUGGUGGUGCCGACCCGAAAGGGAAGGGACCCUGGGGGUUUCCGCCAGGGAGCCAGCACAGGUGCUGCAUGGCCGUCGUCAGCUCGUGUCGUGAGGUGUUGGGUUAAGUCCCGCAACGAGCGCAACCCCUGCCCCUAGUUGCCAGCGGUUCGGCCGGGCACUCUAGGGGGACUGCCGGCGAUAAGCCGGAGGAAGGUGGGGAUGACGUCAGGUCCUCAUGGCCCUUAUGCCCGGGGCUACACACGCGCUACAAUGGCCGGUACAAAGGGUUGCGAACCCGCGAGGGGGAGCUAAUCCCAAAAAGCCGGCCCCAGUUCGGAUCGGAGUCUGCAACUCGACUCCGUGAAGGCGGAAUCGCUAGUAAUCCCGGAUCAGCUACGCCGGGGUGAAUACGUUCCCGGGCCUUGUACACACCGCCCGUCACGCCACGGAAGUCAGUCUUCCCGGAAGCCCUCGAGCUAACCCGCAAGGGAGGCAGAGGACGAUGGGAAGGCUGGCAACUGGGGCGAAGUCGUAACAAGGUAGCCGUAGGGGAACCUGCGGCUGGAUCACCUCCUU